Molecule: ribosomal RNA, 593 nt
Filed under: Penicillium sp. 3887
Lineage: Eukaryota; Fungi; Ascomycota; Eurotiomycetes; Eurotiales; Aspergillaceae
Description: eukaryotic LSU rRNA
Rfam family: 5.8S ribosomal RNA (bases 219-372)
Source: RNAcentral
GUUAUUUCAUGUUUCGUAGGUGACCUGCGGAAGGAUCAUUACCGAGUGCGGGCCCUCGUGGCCCAACCUCCACCCUUGUCUCUAUACACCUGUUGCUUUGGCGGGCCCACCGGGGCCACCUGGUCGCCGGGGGACAUCUGUCCCCGGGCCCGCGCCCGCCGAAGCGCUCUGUGAACCCUGAUGAAGAUGGGCUGUCUGAGUACUAUGAAAAUUGUCAAAACUUUCAACAAUGGAUCUCUUGGUUCCGGCAUCGAUGAAGAACGCAGCGAAAUGCGAUAAGUAAUGUGAAUUGCAGAAUUCCGUGAAUCAUCGAAUCUUUGAACGCACAUUGCGCCCCCUGGCAUUCCGGGGGGCAUGCCUGUCCGAGCGUCAUUUCUGCCCUCAAGCACGGCUUGUGUGUUGGGUGCGGUCCCCCCGGGGACCUGCCCGAAAGGCAGCGGCGACGUCCGUCUGGUCCUCGAGCGUAUGGGGCUUUGUCACUCGCUCGGGAAGGACUGGCGGGGGUUGGUCACCACCAAAAUUUUACCACGGUUGACCUCGGAUCAGGUAGGAGUUACCCGCUGAACUUAAGCAUAUCAAUAAGCGGAGGAAUC